CCUACGGGUGGCAGCAGUGGGGAAUAUUGGACAAUGGGUGAAAGCCUGAUCCAGCCAUGCCGCGUGUGUGAAGAAGGCCUUCGGGUUGUAAAGCACUUUCAGUGGGGAAGAAAGCCUUGGGGCUAAUACCCUCGAGGAAGGACAUCACCCACAGAAGAAGCACCGGCUAACUCCGUGCCAGCAGCCGCGGUAAUACGGAGGGUGCGAGCGUUAAUCGGAAUUACUGGGCGUAAAGCGCGCGUAGGCGGUCUGAUAAGCCGGUUGUGAAAGCCCCGGGCUCAACCUGGGAACGGCAUCCGGAACUGUCAGGCUAGAGUGCAGGAGAGGAAGGUAGAAUUCCCGGUGUAGCGGUGAAAUGCGUAGAGAUCGGGAGGAAUACCAGUGGCGAAGGCGGCCUUCUGGACUGACACUGACGCUGAGGUGCGAAAGCGUGGGUAGCAAACAGGAUUAGAUACCCUGGUAGUC
Molecule: ribosomal RNA, 465 nt
Filed under: Vreelandella stevensii
Lineage: Bacteria; Pseudomonadati; Pseudomonadota; Gammaproteobacteria; Oceanospirillales; Halomonadaceae
Description: partial 16S ribosomal RNA
Rfam family: Bacterial small subunit ribosomal RNA
Source: RNAcentral